RNAcentral lists this non-coding RNA (30 nucleotides) under Mus musculus (house mouse). Lineage: Eukaryota; Metazoa; Chordata; Mammalia; Rodentia; Muridae. The record is from RNAcentral.
UGCUGUGCCAUGCCAACUCCCUAAUGGCAA